UACGUAGGGGGCGAGCGUUGUCCGGAUUUAUUGGGCGUAAAGAGCUCGUAGGCGGUUUGGUAAGUCGGGUGUGAAAUCUCCACGCUCAACGUGGAGGGGCCACUCGAUACUGCCAUGACUCGAGUCCGGUAGAGGAGUGUGGAAUUCCCGGUGUAGCGGUGAAAUGCGUAGAGAUCGGGAGGAACAUCAGAGGCGAAGGCGGCGAACUGGAUAGUAACUGACACUGAACUACGAAAGCGUGGGUAGCAAACAGG
Molecule: ribosomal RNA, 254 nt
Filed under: uncultured bacterium
Lineage: Bacteria
Description: partial 16S ribosomal RNA
Rfam family: Bacterial small subunit ribosomal RNA
Source: RNAcentral